CUGGCGGAAAAUGGUGGUCGUCAGCUCGAGCACGAGGAGAUAUGAGGCUUAAGACCCUGCAUAAGAGAGCAACCGUUAAGCUAAGUCGCCAUCAUUAAGUUGGGAACAUUAAGUUGAGUGCCGGUGACUAUCCGUAGGAAGCUGGGGACGACGUCAAAUCAUCAGACCCCUUAUGAUUUGGGCUUCACACUUGCUACAAUGGACAAUACAAAGGGCAGCGAAUCGCUCGAGGUCAAGCAAAUACCAUAAAGCAAAACACAGUGUGGGUUGUAGUCUGC
RNAcentral lists this ribosomal RNA (278 nucleotides) under Staphylococcus aureus. RNAcentral's name for it is "partial 16S ribosomal RNA". It matches the Rfam family "Bacterial small subunit ribosomal RNA", at positions 1035 to 1308 of the family's 1533-position model. Lineage: Bacteria; Bacillati; Bacillota; Bacilli; Caryophanales; Staphylococcaceae. The record is from RNAcentral.